AUUGAACGCUGGCGGCAGGCUUAACACAUGCAAGUCGAGCGGGGUGAUGGUGCUUGCACUAUCACUUAGCGGCGGACGGGUGAGUAAUGCUUAGGAAUCUGCCUAUUAGUGGGGGACAACAUCUCGAAAGGGAUGCUAAUACCGCAUACGUUCUACGAGAGAAAGCAGGGGAGCACUUGUGACCUUGCGCUAAUAGAUGAGCAUAAGUCGGGUUAGCUAGUUGGUGGGGUAAAAGCCUACCAAGGCGACGAUCUGUAGCGGGUCUGAGAGGAUGAUCCGCCACACUGGGACUGAGACACGGCCCAGACUCCUACGGGAGGCAGCAGUGGGGAAUAUUGGACAAUGGGGGGAACCCUGAUCCAGCCAUGCCGCGUGUGUGAAGAAGGCCUUAUGGUUGUAAAGCACUUUAAGCGAGGAGGAGGCUCUUUUGGUUAAUACCCAGAAUGAGUGGACGUUACUCGCAGAAUAAGCACCGGCUAACUCUGUGCCAGCAGCCGCGGUAA
This 503-nucleotide ribosomal RNA is filed under the name uncultured bacterium. RNAcentral describes it as "partial 16S ribosomal RNA". It matches the Rfam family "Bacterial small subunit ribosomal RNA", at positions 30 to 523 of the family's 1533-position model. The record is from RNAcentral.